GGCAGACCGCUUCUCCCGCACGCCGGCGCGCACACGCGCGCGUCCGCCCUGCACGCACGCUAGCGCGCCUCGCGUGCGCAGCCGUGCCCAUGCACGCGCACGUGCGAGCACUUUGCAUGCACGCGCAUGCAGGCCCCUGCACGCCCCCUCUGCCGCGCUGCAGCCCUCGCACGCGUAUUCGCACGCUGCACGUGCGGGCAGCCCUGUGUACGCACGCACACCCUGCGGACACUCACACAUGCUCUCACUCCCCCUGCAUGUUUGCACGCACACACACUGAAGCAUGCACGUCCUGCACACAUACACUCACGCACGCACGCUUGCACCCCGCAUGCAUGCACACACACAUACAUGCACGUGUACAUGCACACUCACACGCUCGCACGCUGCAUGCACGCACACAUACACAGAAGCACGCACACCCUGCACACACACAGCCCGCGUGCACAUGCAUGUGUGUGCACACCCCCACACAUGCACAACCACACACAUGCACACACAUACAUGCAUAUGCACACGUGCACACCCCCACACAGGUAUACUCACCCACACAUGCGCAGCCACACACGUUUGCACACACACAAGCACACGCAUGUGUGUGCACACCACCACACACAUGCACACACACACACACAUGCACGUGCAUGCGUGUGUGCACACCCACACAUGCACCCACACACACGCGUGCACACACAUGCACGUGCAUGUGUGUACACCCCCACACAUGCACCCCCACACAUGCAUGCACACACACAUGCACCCCCACACAUACACACACAUGCACACCCAUAUGCAUGCGUGUGCCUCCCUACACAGGCACACACGCACCCCCACACAUGCACACACACACAUACGCACACCCACCCAUAUGCAUGCGUGUGCCCCCCUAUACAUGCACACACACAUGCACCCCCCACACAUGCACCCCCCCACACAUGCGCACAUGCACACAUAUGCACACACAUUCGCACACAUGCACACACACAUGCACGCACACAUGCACACACGCACACAUGCGCACGCACAUGCACAUGCGCACACACACAUAUGCACACGCACAUAUGCACACGCCCAUGCACAUGCGCACAUAUGCACACACACAUGUACAUACACACACAUGCACACAUNNNNNNNNNNNNNNNNNNNNNNNNNNNNNNNNNNNNNNNNNNNNNNNNN
This 1176-nucleotide long non-coding RNA is filed under the name Struthio camelus australis. Its description in RNAcentral is "lncRNA (ENSSCUG00000009172.1)". Lineage: Eukaryota; Metazoa; Chordata; Aves; Struthioniformes; Struthionidae. The record is from RNAcentral.